This 135-nucleotide ribosomal RNA is filed under the name Fusarium sp. RNAcentral describes it as "partial large subunit ribosomal RNA". Lineage: Eukaryota; Fungi; Ascomycota; Sordariomycetes; Hypocreales; Nectriaceae. The record is from RNAcentral.
AAGCGUUUAUGACCAGACUUGGGCUUGGUUAAUCAUCUGGGGUUCUCCCCAGUGCACUUUUCCAGUCCAGGCCAGCAUCAGUUUUCCCCGGGGGAUAAAAGCUUUAGGAAUGUGGCUCUUCGGAGUGUUAUAGCC